AACGCGGCACGUUCUUCGGCAACGCUGGUAUCGCUUCACUUCUCCAGCCCGGUAUUUCCUUCGCCAGAUCUGAGCAUGGCCCGAAGGGGCAACUCACUGACUCCCCUGCGGAUCCCCGUAGCUUGUGCUUAAGUGAAUUUGCCUUAAUUCGAGUCGCUGCUGCUUUGACGGGGUUUGCGCCGGCGUCACAGGACGACGGGAACCGGGAGCCUGCCGGAGCGCGACCCCCCUCGUCGCGACCCGCGCGCUGCCGAGCCGUUUCGGGGUUACAGCGGGCGUCACAGGGCUCCUGCCGGCUGCCGGCGUAUUGCGAAUCCGUUUUAUAGCUUGGGCGCAGUCGGAUCCUGAAGAACAUGCGUGGAGUCAUCAAGACGCUAAUGAAGUGUUUAGUGAUGUAAAUGUAAUUUAAAGGCUUGGCCCCCUUUGGUUUCAGCGUGCCUGGGAGCUAUUCACCGUGCUCUUCCCCUCGGUUCCUAUUCUCGGCGCCGGCGCUGAAGAGGCACUAACGUUUUCCCUUGCUAAAGCAGUUCCAGGAAACUAAUAGCUUGACCCCGUUUACUCAUGCUGCCGGGAAAAGUGGUUAUUCCCGGGAGCUUUUGUGGCUUUUUUAAGCCCCGCGGAUGCAGCUGGUGCUUCCACAUGGCUCAAUUCAGGUAAAAACAAACCUGACCUCGCCAGAAGUAGUUGAAUACCGCAGGCACGGUUGGAAGAGUAACUCUUUGCUGGCCCGGGUUGUUGCAACUAGUAGCUGUGCUGGCCGACCUGAGACGCCCAUGAAUUUGGGCAGGGAGAAGUGGUGAACAGCCAGGGCAUCCGAAAAGGCCGGCAAAGCAACCGGUCGAGGACACGGACGUGUCAUCCAGGGGCCGCUUUCAGGAAGGUGCUUCAGCAGCCAACCACCACUUCGUUGUCAUCGCUCCCGACACCUGCUCCCGAGCCACGAGGAUGUAUGAAAAUCCCUCCUUCUGUUCCCGUUCCUACAGCUGCGCCCUAUGGAAAAGCCCGAAGCUGCAACUCCUGCGCAUGCUAAAGGGCACGGGGGCCGUUUGCUUUGCAGGAAGACGGUGAYCAAACUUUGUCCUUUGUCAACAAGGGGCUGUUGUGCUCCGGUUUCCGGGGAUACCCGCCGCGAUGCCGCGCAGAAUCGGAUUGAAGGACUGCCGUGGUGGUGGCGGCGGCAUUAUGGGCCACGGCCAGCUGGGCUG
Molecule: long non-coding RNA, 1205 nt
Filed under: Apteryx rowi (Okarito brown kiwi)
Lineage: Eukaryota; Metazoa; Chordata; Aves; Apterygiformes; Apterygidae
Description: lncRNA (ENSARWG00000013218.1)
Source: RNAcentral